Molecule: unclassified non-coding RNA, 272 nt
Filed under: Glomus sp.
Lineage: Eukaryota; Fungi; Glomeromycota; Glomeromycetes; Glomerales; Glomeraceae
Description: partial internal transcribed spacer 2
Rfam family: 5.8S ribosomal RNA (bases 1-65)
Source: RNAcentral
GUGAAUCAUCGAAUUUUUGAACGCAAAUUGCACUCUCCGCGGGGAGUAUGCGUGUGUCAGGUUCGGCCUAUAUAAAUCGACAUCGUUGCUGUUUCGCGGUGGCGUUCGUCGUAAAUUGGGUCAUCUUACAUCCUUUUGUUUUAUGCGACUUAAAAUUUUCUUUUGGUUCCAUGAACGUUUCUCAGAUCUAUUUCUUUACACGUUUAAGGUAUCGAUUUUUCCUAGACGUGACCAUCAUAUCGGAUCGCGCCCAUAAUCUUUCCUUAACUGUC